This 157-nucleotide small RNA is filed under the name Brucella intermedia 229E. Its description in RNAcentral is "Ochrobactrum intermedium 229E Alphaproteobacterial sRNA ar7". It matches the Rfam family "Alphaproteobacterial sRNA ar7". Lineage: Bacteria; Pseudomonadati; Pseudomonadota; Alphaproteobacteria; Hyphomicrobiales; Brucellaceae. The record is from Rfam by way of RNAcentral.
CAUCGACAGUUCGUCGGUCGCCGGUUUUCUGACCCGUCCCCCCCCGUUGGAUGCCGGAUGUUAGCGGCAGCCUCAUUUCCCCCCCUCUCCGGGCUGCCGCUUUGAGUGUAGUGAUAUGGCCGUUACGGUAACCCCCCCCUCACCGUAACGGCCAAUU